Molecule: unclassified non-coding RNA, 3558 nt
Filed under: Hevea brasiliensis (rubber tree)
Lineage: Eukaryota; Viridiplantae; Streptophyta; Magnoliopsida; Malpighiales; Euphorbiaceae
Source: RNAcentral
GCCGAUCCUUUCAAUCCGAGCUCUGGCAACCUUGGACUCGUGUUUUGGGCUCACAAUACAAGGCUGGGCUUCACACGCAUCACUCAUCUUGCGCUUUCGACUUUCGUUUUCCCGCUGCAUAAAAAAAAGUUAUGAAAGGGCAAGCAUUGCCUCAAAAAUCGGCACACAAUACGUUCUCUAAAACACAAGCAAAAGCACAGCGCUGAUUUAGAGAGAAUUUUGGGAUCCGAAAGGUGCGUCGUAAUUCUUUCCUAAAAUUACUCUACUUUUUUUCAACAUUUCAGAUUCCAUUUACGAUAAUCUUGCAUUAAUUGUUCAAGUAGUUAGUUUUGGGAGACGACGAAGAUUCGGCUGCUCAGAAGGCUGAGGAGUAUAAGGAUAAUACUACUGUGAAGGCGAAGGAGACGACGGAUGCUGCUGCAAGGAAGAUGGAAGAAGAGAAGGAAUCCGUGAAAGGGAAGGCGGAGUACAUUAAGGAAUCGGCAAAGGGAAAGAUGGGAGAGUAUGCAGAUAAGGCGAAAGAGACAAAGGGAUUGGCGAAGGAGAAGUUGGGUGAGUACAAGGAUUAUGCAGCUGAGAAGGCACAAGAGACUAAAGAAUCUGCAGAGGGGUAGGCAGGAGAGUAUAAGGAUUAUGCUGCAGAAAGCCAGAGAAACAAAAGACAAGGCUGGGGAAUACAAGUACUAUGCAAUAGAGAAGGCAAAGGAAACGAGGGAUUACACUGCUGAAAAAGAUAAGGAGGCUGCAGAGAGGGCAAAGGAAACAAAGGAUUAUACUGCUAAGAAAGCCGAGGAAGGAAAGGACUCUGCUACUAGUAUGCUCAGUGAGCUUCCUGAAUCUGCCAAAGGUGCUGGAAGAAAUUCUGUGGACCUCUUCUCUAGUAAGAAAGAAGAAGCUAAAGAGAAACAGAAGAGACAAAAGAGGCAACCAAGGAGAAAUUGAGCGAAGCCGAGGAGGAAGUGAGGCGGAAGAUGGAGGAGUUGAAGGUGGAAGGUAAGGAUUACGAAAAUGAGGCUGAGAAAAAAGCCCAAGAAGCUAAGGACACUGAAGCUGAAAGGGAAAUCACUGCGAGAGACACCAUCUUUGGAAACAUUGGUCUGGAAAGCAUUACGGACUCGAUUGAAGGGAAGCUAACACAACCACGGGACGAUGCGGAUGCGACUCAGAAUGAGCAUGGAGGCACAGGAAGAAGGGAUGCAGAUAAGUUGCAGGAGGAGGUGGUGCUUCUUCUUGAAGAGACACCAACAGAAGCUGUGGCGGCCACUCAGAUAGCAGUGGAUCAGAUGACCAGUCAAACUUUCAACGACGUUGGACGCCCAGAUGAUGAGGGCUAUAUUCGCUUAAAACGCACCGGCCUUUAAGGCCAUAAGUGAUGACGUCCACUGAGUGUAAGGCAAACUUCGCAUUUGGGCUUUUUAUUUUUUUAUUUUUUUCCUUUGUGUGUUGAAUAAUUCAGUCCACAAACAUAGCUCUUUAGGCUAUCUCCUUUUUGGAUCGAUGUCAUGGAUCAAAUCUAUUUGAAAUCAAUCUUUAAAGGAUACUUUGAUUAAAAAAAAAAAAGUUACUUAAUGGGAGCAGUCAUCAAAUUUUUUCUUUCAUUUGUUUCCUUGCAUAUAUAAUUCUUGACAAGUUCAAUGAACAGGUACUCUUGUUUGGUAUAAUGGCUAUAGAGAUCAAAAGGAAAGCUCCUCAUGCACAUACUAUCUGUGAAAUUGUAAAAGCUCGGUAUAUGUUUAAUGAUUGCAGUGAACUUAAUUAUCAUAUGUAACAACCUCAUUUAGAUCUAAUGAACUAAUAAAUUACUUCUUUGCUUCAGUUGGGGGAUUUCUGCACAUGUUGUGUUCCUCAUUUUUUGCUUAUUAACAAACAUUAUUGUAACGGCUAUGCUGCUUCUUGGUGGUUCUGCUGUUGUAAAUGCACUUACUGGAGUGAAUAUUUACGCAGCUAGCUUUCUAAUUCCACUCGGAGUAAUUGUCUAUACUCUAGCUGGAGGGCUAAAAGCAACCUUCUUGGCAAGUUAUAUACAUUCUGUUAUAGUGCAUGCGGUUCUAGUCAUUUUUGUGUACCUAGUUUACACAGCAAGCAGUGAGCUGGGAAGUCCCAGUCUUAUAUAUAACCGUCUGGCGGAGGUGGCUAGUAAGUCAAGACUGUGUCAAGAACCGAUUUCACAUGAUGGGCAAUCCUGUGGUCCUGUCAGUGGAAAUUACAAGGGUUCUUACUUAACAAUGUUGAGUUCAGGUGGUCUGGUUUUUGGAAUUAUAAACAUUGCUGGAAACUUCGGUACGGUUUUUGUUGACAAUGGAUAUUGGGUGAGUGCCAUCGCCGCCAGACCUUCAUCAACGCAUAAGGGGUAUUUGUUGGGUGGCCUUGUGUGGUUUGCUGUACCAUUCUCUUUGGCAACAUCUCUGGGUCUAGGGGCACUUGCCCUUGAUUUACCAAUAUCAGAAAGUGAGGCAAGCCAUGGACUUGUUCCUCCAGCUACUGCUAUAGCUUUGAUGGGGAAAGGAGGAUCAAUACUUCUUCUUACAAUGCUUUUCAUGGCUGUGACAUCUGCUGGGUCCUCUGAGUUAAUUGCUGUUUCAUCAUUAUGCACAUAUGAUAUCUACCGUACUUACAUAAAUCCAAAUGCAAGUGGGAAAAAAAUCCUCAAAGUGUCAAGGGCUGUUGUCCUAGGCUUUGGAUGUUUCAUGGGAUUGUUAGCAAUAAUACUGAAUAAGGCUGGAGUCUCAUUAGGUUGGAUGUAUCUUGCCACGGGAGUGCUUGUUGGUUCUGCUGUUCUUCCUAUUGCUUUUAUGCUUCUGUGGAGCAAAGCAAACGCAAUGGGUGCCAUUCUUGGAACAAUUAUUGGUUGUAUUCUCGGUAUUGUAACUUGGCUAUUAGUUACAGUCAUUGAAUAUGGCCAUUUAAAUCUUGACACAACUGGCCGUAAUGCACCAAUGCUGGCUGGAAACCUUGUCUCUAUACUUACAGGUGGAGCUGUUCAUGCUGUUUGUAGUCUUUUGCGGCCCCAAAAUUAUGAUUGGGAUACCACCAGGCAGAUCACAGUAGUUGAAAAGGAAAAAGACGAGCUUCCAGCAGAAGAGUUCAAGGAGGAGAAACUUACCAAAGCAAAAUCCUGGAUAAUUAAAUGGGGUGUCGGUUUCUCUGUUGUGAUUGUUAUAUUAUGGCCUCUUCUCACUCUUCCUGCAGGGGAAUUCAGCUUGGGAUACUUCACAUUCUGGGCAGUAAUUGCUAUAGCAUGGGGCACCAUAGGAUCGGCAGUAAUCAUUGCUCUACCACUGGUUGAAAGCUGGGAAACCAUCCAAAGUGUAUUUCUGGGAAUGUUUACAAAUGACAAGCUUCUGGAAAAGAUGGAGGAGAUGAAUGUCAAACUAAGUACAAUCAUUCAGGCUAUGCCGGAAGCUCAGAAAAUUUACUUGCUCGAGAAAGAGAAAUCCAAAAAACAAGAAACAGCAGAGCACCUGGCUUAAUGUGCUCUUAGCUACCAAAUGGUUCAGCUAGACCUGUCUUCAUGGAAGUACAAAAUAUUUAACAAAGUUCGAAGAUAAGGGUUUUUUU